This 497-nucleotide ribosomal RNA is filed under the name uncultured bacterium. RNAcentral's name for it is "partial 16S ribosomal RNA". It matches the Rfam family "Bacterial small subunit ribosomal RNA", at positions 28 to 507 of the family's 1533-position model. The record is from RNAcentral.
GAUGAACGCUGGCGGCGUGCCUAAUACAUGCAAGUCGAGCGAACAGACGAGGAGCUUGCUCCUCUAACGUUAGCGGCGGACGGGUGAGUAACACGUGGAUAACCUACCUAUAAGACUGGGAUAACUUCGGGAAACCGGAGCUAAUACCGGAUAAUAUAUUGAACCGCAUGGUUCAAUAGUGAAAGACGGUUUUGCUGUCACUUAUAGAUGGAUCCGCGCCGCAUUAGCUAGUUGGUAAGGUAACAGCUUACCAAGGCAACGAUGCGCAGCCGACCUGAGAGGGUGAUCGGCCACACUGGAACUGAGACACGGUCCAGACUCCUACGGGAGGCAGCAGUAGGGAAUCUUCCGCAAUGGGCGAAAGCCUGACGGAGCAACGCCGCGUGAGUGAUGAAGGUCUUCGGAUCGUAAAACUCUGUUAUUAGGGAAGAACAAAUGUGUAAGUAACUAUGCACGUCUUGACGGUACCUAAUCAGAAAGCCACGGCUAACUACGUG